UUUUUUUUUUUUUCAAGUAGUUUGAGACAGAGAGGAGAAGUAGCAAGAGGGUAAAUGAGAAGCUGGUAUCAAUUUUGUGUGAUAAAAAAUCUUUAACUGAAAUACCGAAAUGCCAGAAAUUAACAUGGAAUUUUAUUUUGUCUAUAUGCUGUAAAGUAGUGAAUACUGACCCUCCCUUCAUAUUUUGGGUCAAGACUAGCAUGUCUGACAUAAAAUGGCAGACUACUUUCUUGCACCGGUUUCAUCAAGUUUACGGAAGGAAUGUCUUACUUAGUUUGUUGCUUCUUGAAAUUACAUAAUACACUUCAAAACUUCCAUCCUUUGUUCUUUAUAGAACAGGAUGCCACCUAGGUUGUUAAAUCCUGGAAGCCAAGCUAAAACAAAUCUUCAUUUGUCCUAUUCAUCCUAGGACUAGCUAGCAUGAAUUAUAAAAAAAUCUUAUAAUUAUUACAUUUAUGUGAAAAAUUCUCAAUUAUUUUUUUUUAAUCCACAACUCUAAAAAAGUUAAAAAGCCAAUUUAUCUUAAUUUCUCAAUGGGAUCAUUUUACAAGUUUCAAAGACUAUCUCAAUUCUUCUUAUCUGUUUUCAUAAUUGCUUCCUUCUGUCUAGACCACUGUCUUCUCAACUGUUUUUCCAUGUGUUCAACCUUCUUCCUCUUGCAGUCGUCAUCCCACACGGAAAGCUUUCCUUGACAUCCCGCUGCCUCCAAGUUUUGCUAAGAUACAUUUCCUAGAUGCUCUAGAAGUUCUGCGUACUUCGCGAGCUGUUCACCAGACUGCUUCUUUUCCUCCGGUUACAAAAUCACACUGAGUUUUGCAGCUCGAUAUGCGCACGUGACUGAAUUCUUCACAAUGGAAUGAAGCUAGAUGUAAAUCACGGCACCAUCAGAGCUGGCCUUGAAAUCAUCUGGUGCAUGCUCCCUCAUGUCAUGUUUGCUCAUUACAGGUAAAAUCCCUGAGGACCUGGAGGAGGAAGGAUCCAGAACAGCAAGAGCCUGUACUUCCACCUAGAUCUCAGGAUCACCCCUCAGGCCUCACCCCUCAACUAACAAAGUCUGUUGAGAGUAGAAAGUUGAGCAUCCAUCAUCCCACCCUGACUAGGAACAUCUAUUGGAGUUCUGUGUAAAUGAGAGUUAAAUUUCAGUUCUUCGUGACAUUGAACUCUGUAUUGCUUGCUGUAGUCCUCAGCCUGCCCAGACUGUGACUGCUCUGUCGGUCCGCCCCUCCCACGACGUACACCCACACGCUGGGCUUUGUCGUGUUCCAGGCUCCAGCUGAGCCUGGCACAGCAUACACCGCAUAGCUAUCCUCCCCCUCUUUCUUAAUAAUUUGAAUCUUACAGUAAGAUGUACCAUGAAAAUUUCAUAGGAAACGCUACUCUAAAUAGUUAUUCCUUUGGAGGGAAAUGCAAGGAUUCAUUUAGCCCAGGCUUCGAAAUACCUCCCCAUAAAUACCAUAAAGGUAAAAUCUGAUUUUGCUCAGGAAUUCAAAGCAAGUGUAAACAUCGAAACGUUUUUGGCAAAACUGCUUUUGUAGGCUUCGAUUUGCAGUUUUUCCUACAAU
Molecule: long non-coding RNA, 1562 nt
Filed under: Canis lupus familiaris (dog)
Lineage: Eukaryota; Metazoa; Chordata; Mammalia; Carnivora; Canidae
Description: lncRNA (ENSCAFG00845028018.1)
Source: RNAcentral